Molecule: ribosomal RNA, 350 nt
Filed under: Agathobacter rectalis
Lineage: Bacteria; Bacillati; Bacillota; Clostridia; Lachnospirales; Lachnospiraceae
Description: bacterial SSU rRNA
Rfam family: Bacterial small subunit ribosomal RNA
Source: RNAcentral
CGAAAGAUUAAAGCAGCAAUGCGCUUGGGGAUGGGCUCGCGGCCUAUUAGUUAGUUGGUGAGGUAACGGCUCACCAAGGCGAUGACGGGUAGCCGGUCUGAGAGGAUGUCCGGCCACACUGGAACUGAGACACGGUCCAGACACCUACGGGUGGCAGCAGUCGAGAAUCAUUCACAAUGGGGGAAACCCUGAUGGUGCGACGCCGCGUGGGGGAAUGAAGGUCUUCGGAUUGUAAACCCCUGUCAUGUGGGAGCAAAUUAAAAAGAUAGUACCACAAGAGGAAGAGACGGCUAACUCUGUGCCAGCAGCCGCGGUAAUACAGAGGUCUCAAGCGUUGUUCGGAAUCACUG